GCCCGCUCAGAACCUUAAAGGAAUUGAGGGGGCCCGCACAAGCGGUGGAGCAUGUGGUUUAAUUCGAUGAUACGCGAGGAACCUUACCUGGGCUCAAAUGUAUGUUGACGUAUUCUGAAAGGGAUACUUCUUCGGACAAUAUACAAGGUGCUGCAUGGUUGUCGUCAGCUCGUGCCGUGAGGUGUCGGGUUAAGUCCCAUAACGAGCGCAACCCCUACCUUUAGUUGCCAUCAGGUUAAGCUGGGGACUCUAAAGGAACUGCCUACGCAAGUAGUGAGGAAGGCGGGGAUGACGUCAAAUCAGCACGGCCCUUACGUCCAGGGCUACACACGUGCUACAAUGGCCGAUACAGAGGGCAGCUACCUGGUGACAGGAUGCAAAUCUCCAAAGUCGGUCUCAGUUCGGAUCGGAGUCUGCAACCCGACUCCGUGAAGUUGGAUUCGCUAGUAAUCGCGCAUCAGCCAUGGCGCGGUGAAUACGUUCCCGGGCCUU
Molecule: ribosomal RNA, 492 nt
Filed under: uncultured Sphingobacteriales bacterium
Lineage: Bacteria; Pseudomonadati; Bacteroidota; Sphingobacteriia; Sphingobacteriales
Description: bacterial SSU rRNA
Rfam family: Bacterial small subunit ribosomal RNA
Source: RNAcentral